AAGAGAAAUGAGGUUCCGAUCGGUGCACAACCGAUCGGCACAACCAAGCGGCAAUGCACACAUCCUUCUUCACCGUACGGACGAGUGGCUCCGAUCGGUUGUGCAACCGAUCGGACCAACCGAUUGGAAGUGCGGAUGGAUCUUUCUCUUCACUUGGUUCAAUACUCCCCCGCAAGCUUGAGCGUCGGGACAAUAAGGACCAAAGGUCAAGCUUGGAGAUCUUCGGCCUUGUCUUCAUGACUUCCGCCUUGACUCCCUUCUACUUCUUCUUCUCUUUCUUGAAGAUGGCUUGGCCUCUUCGGCCUCUCUCUUCUUUCCUUCUUAUAUUUUAAUACCCUCCCGCACGUUUGAUCGUCGGGACAACAUGAGGACCAGAGAUCAAGCGUGGACUCGUGUCGACUACCUCAUUAAAAACCUUAACAAAGAAAACCACUUGGGAUAAAACUUUGUUAAGGGAAAAAGAGUAUAGCCUUCACGGUCCUUGAUGUCGCUAUGAUCUUGGUUUGUUAAGAACCGGCUCUCUUCUCUUCAAGUCUUUGAACCGCUACACUGCCUUUAACUCGCUUCUCAUGAUCUCCAAUCUUGCACUUCUCGAAUUUCUUUGAGGCUCUCAUAGUCUCCUUUACCCUUUAAACAAGUGAUAAAGAAGAAUAUAUAAGUGUAUGCUAUGAGGAAUAUCAAAGAGAAUUUUAAGAAUGUGACAAGUUUAAGAGAAACAUAUUAUAGCAUAAAGACUAGCAAUUGAACUACGGUAAUGAAUUUAAAUUUAAAUAGAGUAGAGUUUUAGAGCACAGCCUUUGGUUUGAAUCACCAUUCUUGAUGAUGGCUUCUUUUCUUUAUCCCUUGAGAGAACUUCUUCAACGUGAAUUGAAGAGUUUUGGAUUCAUCAUGAUUUUAAAUGCUUUGAACAUUUCGUUCAAAGACAUCCCAUGGUUCUCUUCCCCCUUCUUUCCUCCGUGAGUCUCUUCUUCAAGGGCUUUGUUUUUGUGGUCGCCAUUUCUUCUUGGAAUACUCUCAAGAAGAGAUGGAAGGCAUAAGCCUGAGAAUAAGAGACAAAAAUGAAAGUGUAUGUUACCAAGAAUAAGAGAAUAAAGAGUAUGGACUCAAGAGUGCCAAUGGACAAAGUUCUUAGCUUUGUUUUCUUGAGUUGAGGUUGAAAGUAUGUGGGGUUUAGUAACCGGAAUGGGCAUGAGAAUUGAAGCUGCUCUCUUUCUUCAACACGGGUAGCCAUUAUUUUCUACUCCGGGUUCUUCAAGGUCUAACUCCAAGACGCCAUGAUACUUCCAACGAGUACCAAUCAUGUUGUCUACUUCGUGGACUCCAUGGCUACUCCAAACUGCUACUUAACUUUUGUUUCGGUUUGAGCUCUCUUCUUGAGAUCUCUAGAUCGCUUCUUAGAACAUGUUAAACCAUGAUAGGUUUCACCAUUUUCGAGCCUUGAAACCUUGUACAUCAAUGACUUUGAAGUCUUGUGCACAUUCAAUCUUGAGCUCCAUGACUUUGACACUUGAAUGCGUGAGCUUGAUUCAGCAUUCCCACCAGAUUUCUUCUCUAAUUUGAUCGUCCACCAAUGUCACUUCCUCUCUAACAACCACUUGAGUUCGCUGGCCAGAUUUCUUCUUCGUGUUGUCUUGAGUUUUGACUUGGUUGGAUCGUCUAAAUGGACUUCAAAUAUAACCGGCUCUACUCUUCACUUUCUUAGUCCUUCAUGACUUGUGCUGAAUCCUUUCCUUGUCAACUUUUACUUCCUUGAGGGUCUCAUUGGUCUCUUUGAGGCUCUUAUGGUCUCCUUCACCCUUAAACAAGAGAUAAAGAAGAAAAGAUUAAGUUUUGCCAUAAGGAAUAUCAAAGAAAACCAAAUGAGGAAUUUCAAAGCUAUUAAGCAACAAUUAGGAGUUCUUGAAUAUGAUUAAGCUGUGAAUCUAAGGCAAUGGGUUAAUGAAAAAUGUCAUGAAAUGAGAGUAGAGUUUAGAAACAGCCUUUAUUUGAAGAAGACUUGAACUUUUGCGGUUGGUUCGCCUAAUGGACUUCAAGUCUGAUGGUGAAUGGUUCUAACCCUCCCGCAAACUUAUAGUGCCCAGAUUAUCCAGACCUUAAUCUCGAACUAAUGCAUUCGCCUUCCCUUCAUGAGACAAGCGAUUCCUUGCAAAACAGAUUAGAGUUAAUGGACAACAAAACAAACUUGGUGAAAGAUUAGUGUAAGUGAAUAGAAUGGGCAGAAAUAAAGGAGAAUAAUAGUAUAGUAGACAAUAAAGGAGAAUAGAGAAUAGAGAGUUUGCUCAAGAGUUCAAAUGGACAGAGUUUUGCUCUGUUUUCUUGAGUUAAGCGGAAGCUUUAACAACCAAGGCAUCCAAUAAUCAUCAAGAGUUUGGUGCUUUAAUGGCUGAAACAAUAUGGACCGUUGGGCAAUUCAUUUACCCACCGGUUUAAGACAUAAACACACCGAAAUAACUCAUGACCAAGAGUUUUCCGGUGACUUUAAAGAACUAUGAACCACGAAAUACCAUAUUGAAGAUGAUUUCCGUGGCCUAGUUUUAAAGAAACCAUUGGAACAAAACAGUUUGUCCAAUGGAAUCAUCAAUUUCUCUUCACAUGCUUGGUCUAAGAACUUUAACAAGACCAGAAUCCAAGCUUUUCUCAACAUUGAGCUGCUAGAGAAACGAUUUUAACAAUAAAAGCUGAAACUUUAAAGAAUCUAGUCUAAAGCUGAAACCUUUAAAGAAGCUAAGCAAUUUAACAACUAAGAGAAAUUUAAAACUGACUUGAGAACGAUUUUAAGAGUUCCAAGAGAGCAACCUGCUCUGAUACCAUGUUAGAAUUUAAGAGACUAAGCUCAUAAGAAAGAGUAAACAAUCACUUGGUGAUUGAAUCUCCUUUUAUCCACACAAAGGGAACUCAUUCUCAAGAGGAAGAGACCAUCAACUUGUGAUGGAAUCUACACCAAUAUAGCUUGAUAGAACCGAAAUCUCUAUGGAGAGAAUCGAUCCUAGCAAGACAACUAUCUCUAGUAUGAAGCUAGAUCCUUGAGAAGUAACACAACACUAAAGGUUUGUGUACUUAGAGAGAAACGAAUCUAUGAAUCAUUAACCUAGAGUAAACAACAUAAAUAAGAGAUAAUCAAGAGUUUAAGGUGUAUUUAAGAGAAGUAUGACAAGCAAUAGGCUGCCUAGAGGCAGCCCUAAAUCGUGUAACACUAUCUCUCUACAUUGUAACUCUUUAGUUGAACACAAGUAAAGAAGAGAGAGCUACACGAAUUUGAUAUAAGAGCUUGUCUAUUAAUCUUGUGUGUUCUUUACAAUGAGGCUUCUAGCCUUUAUAUAGAAAGGGAACUAGGUUAAGGUGUCUCACAAUCCCCUUUAAUCCUAGCCCUUCUUUUCUCUCUUUAAAUCUCCACCAUUCAAUUCAAAUAACUUCUAGAAGGUCCAACGGUCAUGUUGACCCAAAAGCAAGUCCAAGUGGCGUCAUAAAGCAAGGCAUAAAGCUACUCUUGUCUUCUUCCUCCUUUUGAACUUGCAACGGCUAUAAGGAAGGCUCGGGAAGGAUCCGGAGGCUUCUAGAUGCUUUGGAAUCUUUGGAUGACUCUUAGAAGGCUCUUAGAAGGCUUGAGAAGAUCCUAAAUGGCCGAUCACAACUUUGUACGGACGGCCUCUCCUUAACUUGUACGGACGGCCUUGUACGGACACGGUGUAAAAGGGUUCUGAUCGGUUGUGCAACCGAUUGGCAUAACCGAUUGGAAGAGAAAUGAGGUUCCGAUCGGUGCACAACCGAUCAGCACAACCGAGCGGCAAUGCACACAUCCUUCUUCACCGUACGGACGAGUGGCUCCGAUCGGUUGUGCAACCGAUCGGACCAACCGAUUGGAAGUUCGGAUGGAUCUUUCUCUUCACUUGGUUCAAUAUUCGUCCUCCCUUACAAAACUUGGGGAAGCCAUAAUAAGCUUGUGUAGGCUUCUUGGAGUCCAAUAUGACAAGAUUGGUGUGUAUGACUGAGUAUGAGAAAGAGAAAUGCAUCCCGGAUCCUGGUUGUUAAAGUACCGUAAAUGCAAAACAAAAAAAACUCAUAGGGACUUCAUCCUCACUUACAAAACUUGUGAAAGCCAUAAUAACCUUGUGUAGGCUUCUUUGAGUCCAAUAUGGCAAGAUUGGUGUGUAUGACUGAGUAUAAGAAAGAGAAAUGCAACCCGGAUCCUAGUUGUUAAAGUAGCGUAGAUGCAAAACAAAAAAACUCAUAGGGACUUCGUCCUCCCUUACAAAACUUGUGGAAACCAUAAUAAGCUUGUGUAAGGUUCUUGGAGUCCAAUAUGACAAGAUUGGUGUGUAUGACUGAGUAUAAGAAAGAGAAAUGCAACCCAGAUCCUGGUUGCUAAAGUAGAGUAGAUGCAAAACAAAAAAACUCAUAGGGACUUCGUCCUCCCUUACCAAACUUGGGGAAGCCAUAAUAAGCUUGUGUAGGCUUCUUGGAGUCCAAUAUGACAAGAUUGGUGUGUAUGACUGAGUAUAAGAAAGCGAAAUGCAACCCGGAUCAUGGUUGUUAAAGUACCGUAAAUGCAAAACAAAAAAAAUCAUAGGGACUUCGUCCUCACUUACAAAACUUGUGAAAGCCAUAAUAAUCUUGUGUAGGGUUCUUUGAGUCCAAUAUGACAAGAUUGGUGUGUAUGACUGAGUAUAAGAAAGAGAAAUGCAACCCGGAUCCUGGUUGUUAAAGUACCGUAGAUGCAAAACAAAAAAAAUGUUAGAAUUUAAGAGACUAAGCUCAUAAGAAAGAGUAAACAAUCACUUGGUGAUUGAAUCUCCUUUUAUCCACACAAAGGGAACUCAUUCUCAAGAGGAAGAGACCAUCAACUUGUGAUGGAAUCUACACCAAUAUAGCUUGAUAGAACCGAAAUCUCUAUGGAGAGAAUCGAUCCUAGCAAGAAAACUAUCUCUAGUAUGAAGCUAGAUCCGUGAGAAGUAACACAACACUAAAGGUUUGUGUACUUAGAGAGAAACGAAUCUAUGAAUCAUUAAGCUAGAGUAAACAACAUAAAUAAGAGAUAAUCAAGAGUUUAAGGUGUAUUUAAGAGAAGUAUGACAAGCAAUAGGCUGCCUAGAGGCAGCCCUAAAUCGUGUAACACUAUCUCUCUACAUUGUAACUCUUUAGUUGAACACAAGUAAAGAAGAUAGAGCUACACGAAUUUGAUAUAAGAGCUUGUCUAUUAAUCUUGUGUGUUCUUUACAAUGAGGCUUCUAGCCUUUAUAUAGAAAGGGAACUAGGUUAAGGUGUCUCACAAUCCCCUUUAAUCCUAGCCCUUCUUUUCUCUCUUUAAAUCUCCACCAUUCAAUUCAAAUAACUUCUAGAAGGUCCAACGGUCAUGUUGACCCAAAAGCAAGUCCAAGUGGCGUCAUAAAGCAAGGCAUAAAGCUACUCUUGUCUUCUUCCUCCUUUUGAACUUGCAACGGCUAUAAGGAAGGCUCGAGAAGGAUCCGGAGGCUUCUAGAUGCUUUGGAAUCUUUGGAUGACUCUUAGAAGGCUCUUAGAAGGCUUGAGAAGAUCCUAAAUGGCCGAUCACAACUUUGUACGGACGGCCUCUCCUUAACUUGUACGGACGGCCUUGUAUGGACACGGUGUAGAAGGGUUCUGAUCGGUUGUGCAACCGAUUGGCAUAACCGAUUGGAAGAGAAAUGAGGUUCCGAUCGGUGCACAACCGAUCGGCACAACCGAGCGGCAAUGCACACAUCCUUCUUCACCGUACGGACGAGUGGCUCCGAUCGGUUGUGCAACCGAUCGGACCAACCGAUUGGAAGUUCGGAUGUUUCUUUCUCUUCACUUGGUUCAAUACUCCCCCGCAAGCUUGAGCGUCGGGACAAUAAGGACCAACGGUCAAGCUUGGAGAUCUUCGGCCUUGUCUUCAUGACUUCGGCCUUGACUCCCUUCUACUUCUUCUUCUCUUUCUUGAAGAUGGCUUGGCCUCUUCGGCCUCUCUCUUCUUUCCUUCUUAUAUUUUAAUACCCUCCCGCACGUUUGAUCGUCGGGACAACAUGAGGACCAGAGAUCAAGCGUGGACUCGUGUCGACUACCUCAUUAAAAACCUUAACAAAGAAAACCACUUGGGAUAAAACUUUGUUAAGGGAAAAAGAGUAUAGCCUUCACGGUCCUUGAUGUCGCUAUGAUCUUGGUUUGUUAAGAACCGGCUC
Molecule: long non-coding RNA, 6173 nt
Filed under: Arabidopsis lyrata
Lineage: Eukaryota; Viridiplantae; Streptophyta; Magnoliopsida; Brassicales; Brassicaceae
Description: long non-coding RNA (ALYR_LNC000185)
Source: RNAcentral